CUACGGGGCGCUCCAGUGAGGAAUAUUGCGCAAUGGACGAAAGUCUGACGCAGCCAUGCCGCGUGCAGGAUGACGGCGCUAUGCGUUGUAAACUGCUUUUAUAUGCCAAGAAACCUUCGGACGUGUCCGAAGCUGACGGUAGCAUAUGAAUAAGCACCGGCUAACUCCGUGCCAGCAGCCGCGGUAAUACGGAGGGGUGCAAGCGUUAUCAGGAUUUAUUGGGUUUAAAGGGUCCGUAGGCGGAUCAUUAAGUCAGUGGUGAAAGCCGGCAGCUCAACUGUCGAACUGCCAUUGAUACUGGUGAUCUUGAAUACGGUUGAAGUUGGCGGAAUAGGUCAUGUAGCGGUGAAAUGCUUAGAUAUGACCUAGAACACCGAUUGCGAAGGCAGCCAACUAAGCCGUUAUUGACGCUGAGGGACGAAAGCGUGGGGAGCGAACAGGAUUAGAUACCCCUGUAGUC
Molecule: ribosomal RNA, 460 nt
Filed under: uncultured bacterium
Lineage: Bacteria
Description: partial 16S ribosomal RNA
Rfam family: Bacterial small subunit ribosomal RNA
Source: RNAcentral